This is a long non-coding RNA of Ananas comosus (pineapple), 240 nucleotides long. RefSeq lists it as uncharacterized. NCBI's taxonomy places the organism in Eukaryota, Viridiplantae, Streptophyta, Magnoliopsida, Poales, Bromeliaceae. The transcript is spliced from 4 exons. The record is from RefSeq and is a predicted model, not a curated record.
GUGAUUUCUUCAUUUUAGUCCAGGAAAAAGUUGCCUUGAAGCUUGAGGAAGCAGGUUUUCGAACCAUUUUGAACUAAAUUGGUGACCUUGGGAACUAGUUUGGAAGGUGUUCCAACCAGGGCGAGAGUACAACCGACUUUUGGAUGAUCUUUGGUUGGCAUUGGAGAGCCUUUAGAGGUUAAUCUUGAGGGUUGAGGCCUAGUUGAGCUGAAUUUCGGGACUCCUUUGGGCUGGAUUGAG